RNAcentral lists this ribosomal RNA (366 nucleotides) under Triticum aestivum (bread wheat). Its description in RNAcentral is "partial small subunit ribosomal RNA". The record is from RNAcentral. Lineage: Eukaryota; Viridiplantae; Streptophyta; Magnoliopsida; Poales; Poaceae.
UUGAACUACGCUGUCAUCACCCUCAUUCCUAAAGUUAAGGGUGCGGAUAUCAUCUCUCAAUUUAGACCUAUCGCUCUCAUCAAUAACUUUGCAGAAUUCCUUGCCAAAGGUUUUGCCACGCGCCUUUCCCCUGUCUCUCAUCAGGUACUUAGUCCUCUCCAAUCAACUUCUGUCAAAGUGAGAUUCAUUCUUGAUGGUAUCCCGUGUCUUCACGAAAGAGUUCAUGAUAUUCGGGUGCGAGGCACCAAGGCGGUGAUCCUUAAGCUCGACUUUGAGAAGGCCUACGACUCGGUCAGUUGGAAGUUUCUGCAUGAGCUCUUGGUGGCAAAGGGUUUUGAUGGGGCAUAUGUGCAUAGGAUUAUGUAG